CAGCCACCGGUGCACCAACACAGCAUGAAAGAAGAGAUGAUAAGCUUCAAGAGUGGCAUGGUACCAUACAAAUUCAAUGGGCUGCACCUCAAUUGUAUGGGGACACAAGCUCUAUGGAUUUCCAUCCCCAGGAAUAUCACUGCAAAAAACAGUAUCUCUGGACCUGGGGCAGUGUAUACUGAGACGCCAAGUGUUUAAGUUGUAUCUGUCCGUAUAAUGUGUAUAAAUAAAUAUUGUGUAUGUGAA
Schistocerca americana (American grasshopper) is the source of this 246-nucleotide long non-coding RNA. RefSeq lists it as uncharacterized. NCBI's taxonomy places the organism in Eukaryota, Metazoa, Arthropoda, Insecta, Orthoptera, Acrididae. The transcript is spliced from 2 exons. The record is from RefSeq and is a predicted model, not a curated record.